Molecule: ribosomal RNA, 465 nt
Filed under: Vreelandella stevensii
Lineage: Bacteria; Pseudomonadati; Pseudomonadota; Gammaproteobacteria; Oceanospirillales; Halomonadaceae
Description: partial 16S ribosomal RNA
Rfam family: Bacterial small subunit ribosomal RNA
Source: RNAcentral
CCUACGGGGUGCUGCAGUGGGGAAUAUUGGACAAUGGGCGAAAGCCUGAUCCAGCCAUGCCGCGUGUGUGAAGAAGGCCUUCGGGUUGUAAAGCACUUUCAGUGGGGAAGAAAGCCUUGGGGCUAAUACCCUCGAGGAAGGACAUCACCCACAGAAGAAGCACCGGCUAACUCCGUGCCAGCAGCCGCGGUAAUACGGAGGGUGCGAGCGUUAAUCGGAAUUACUGGGCGUAAAGCGCGCGUAGGCGGUCUGAUAAGCCGGUUGUGAAAGCCCCGGGCUCAACCUGGGAACGGCAUCCGGAACUGUCAGGCUAGAGUGCAGGAGAGGAAGGUAGAAUUCCCGGUGUAGCGGUGAAAUGCGUAGAGAUCGGGAGGAAUACCAGUGGCGAAGGCGGUCUUCUGGACUGACACUGACGCUGAGGUGCGAAAGCGUGGGUAGCAAACAGGAUUAGAUACCCCUGUAGUC